ACACACCUGCUAGUGACAUCAGCAUCAUCUACACACCUGCUAGUGACAUCAGCAUCAUCUACACACCUGCUAGUGACAUCAUGCUCCUCUUCACCUGCUAGUAACUUGUCUGCUUUGUGAUAAGCAAAUUUUGCUAUCUUCUAAUCCAUCAAAGUCCUCAUCUUCUGUGUCUGAGUCUGAGCUUUCUUCAUCUAACAUGCCGGGUUCCCUCUCAUCAUGGUUGAUCACUGCCAGUGUACGUAGUGUACGUAUUACAUCCCUGUGUCAGCAGGAUAUGGUCUGACAGUCAGCCUCGCGUGUGGAGAUUUCAGAAGAUACCAGACCUCACAAAGAUUUCAGAAAGCUGCUAAAUAAUCCUUAUAUUGUAAUCAUUGCCCUAAAAGGGAGGAACUUGUCAGCAAAUCUACUUCACAGCACAUCAGUGAAAGCAGUUGACAGUUACAGACAUGUGUUGGAUCAGGGUCAGAUCUGAAUUCUGCAGGUUUCCUGGGAUGACCGUUGGCCUGGACAGAUGCACAGUACACCACACUGACUUCUUUGCAUGGAUAGCUGACUACUACUAUUAUGUUCUGUGAAGGUACUAUUAUAGCAAACCUGAGCACCUGUGACAGUGGAAAUGUUGUAAUGAAUAGUCACACAUGCAUAUUUAUAAACUGAAAGUCACAGAUAAAUUUUUUUAGUACUAACAAUGUAUGUUUUUUUUGUACUAAUUCUCUCCAGCAAACACAACAGUUAUACCAUUUCAUAUUUUGAGGUGCACAAACCCUAUUUUACAAAUAAGAGAAAAGUAUAGACCCUUUGCACGUGACGUCACCCUCUACUCACGCGAAUUGUGAACGCCAUGACGGACGGCAAUAGAGCUUUGCUGUAGGACGGACCGCAAGCCAAACGAGUAUGAAUUCGUGUUCGUUCGUGUAAUAAAAUGUUUUUUUGUUUUUUUUACUUGUAAGCACAGUGCAGUGAUAAUGGUCAAACUGUGUAUUUACAAUGUUAAAGUGGCUGACAACAAUAAAUAUUCUUAUUAUGAAUAAAACUGCAUCGUUUUUUAACUGUGCAGAGCAGUAACGUAAGCUGAAUAGUUAGGCCUACUACGCUACUGUAAGUUUAAUAUUGGUCAUUGUGGUGGUACUUGGACAGCCAAAUAUUUUCUUGGUACUUGGUAUAAAACGUUAUAGAUCAACUGCAUUAGAAAGUUGCAUUGUCACACCCAGUGAACAUCGGUAACUUAAGUGGGUAGCCACGAACAACCAGGUCCUUUAAAAACAGGUUACGUUAAGUUACAAAGAACUGGUAAGCAUCCAGACUUUUAAAAAGCUUUGACCUCAUCACCAGUGUAUGGGGAUAACCCGUUUACCACAUAGUGGUACAGAUUGUGUGGAAUGAAGUCGGGUAGACUCGGCGAUUUAAUGAGGUCCGUGAAAACAGAGGAAAAAGGUAAGGAUCGGUAUCCAAUCCCACGAUCUCCAAGUUCUCCAAAUACUGUUCUUUGUGAGCACCUACCAGAUGCCCUACCUCGACCGAUAACGGCACGACAGCUUGUUCAAUAGAAGAAGCCAUAAAGUUUAGUGUUAUUUUAUUUUAAACUGAUUGAAACUUCCCGCUCGUCCACUACUAUUUAGCUUGUGCUUCCGGUGAUUCUGCCGUCCGUCAUGGCGUCGUCACGUGGUCGUAGUCACGUGUUUGCAAAAAGGUCUAUACAAGUGCUCAGUUUAGCCCCUUUCACACUGAGAUUCUAGAUAAUACACGGGUAAUGUGUCCUGGCAAUUGUUCCCGGAUAAUUAGAUUUUGGUUCAUUCACACUGCCAGUGAUUUUCCGGAAUUCACGGACCAUAAAGAUCCAGUAAAGACACAUGACAUUACGAUGUGUUUUGUUUCUCUUAAGCUGGUGAACGAUGUCAGCUUCAGAACGGAUAAUGAGGAACUAACUGAUCUCUGUGUUACUACAGUUUGUGAGAGAGAAAGAAACAAAUACAAGCUUGCAACUCCAAAAACAUUUUCUUGAUGAUUUAUUGAAAUAUUCUCUACAAAUACAAAUUCCAAUGUCACAAGUGCUAAAUUUUGUUAUAAUAAGGUACAAAGUGUCUCUAUUGUACAGUAGAUGUACUGUAUGCAAAUAUAACAGGGACAUUAACAUUAACUUUGUCUAAUUGUGGCCUAAAUGAUAAAACCUGACCUGAUUAGGUCACAUCCCUGAUAUUACAAACAACUCAAGUUUUGAUUGCAAAUGAAAAUUCUACUAUGUACUUCUGUCUUCUUUAUAAAUCAUCAUCUCACUUAUAUGUCUUUUAUUUUGUGGAACACAAAAGCAAAGAGUGACAGCCUCAGUCACCAUU
Molecule: long non-coding RNA, 2333 nt
Organism: Carassius auratus (goldfish)
Lineage: Eukaryota; Metazoa; Chordata; Actinopteri; Cypriniformes; Cyprinidae
Exons: 5
Source: RefSeq, a predicted model, not a curated record